Molecule: long non-coding RNA, 226 nt
Filed under: Brassica rapa (field mustard)
Lineage: Eukaryota; Viridiplantae; Streptophyta; Magnoliopsida; Brassicales; Brassicaceae
Description: long non-coding RNA (BRAP_LNC000083)
Source: RNAcentral
CCGAACCCAAAAAUACAUCGGGUUCUACCGGUUCUUUGAAGAUUUACUAACCCCAACCCGAAUUUGAUAGAACCUGAACCUGUCCCAAACCGAACUUUCAUAUAACCUGAAUGACGUUGAUUUUGAUAAACCCAAAAAAUCGAGACCCAAUUGAAAACCCCGAAUACCCGUACCUAUGUCUUCCAUUCUCCUCCUCCGCUCUCCUCUUCUUCCCCUUCCCUCUAUG